GCACUCGUAGCUCAGCUGGAUAGAGCAUUGCCCUCCGAAGGCAAAGGUCGGACGUUCAAAUCGUCUCGAGUGCACCA
This 77-nucleotide transfer RNA is filed under the name Rickettsiales bacterium Ac37b. RNAcentral describes it as "tRNA-Arg (CCG) (tRNA-Arg-CCG-1-1)". It matches the Rfam family "tRNA". From Rfam's summary of the family: Transfer RNA (tRNA) molecules are approximately 80 nucleotides in length. Their secondary structure includes four short double-helical elements and three loops (D, anti-codon, and T loops). Further hydrogen bonds mediate the characteristic L-shaped molecular structure. tRNAs have two regions of fundamental functional importance: the anti-codon, which is responsible for specific mRNA codon recognition, and the 3' end, to which the tRNAs corresponding amino acid is attached (by aminoacyl-tRNA synthetases). tRNAs cope with the degeneracy of the genetic code in two manners: having more than one tRNA (with a specific anti-codon) for a particular amino acid; and 'wobble' base-pairing, i.e. permitting non-standard base-pairing at the 3rd anti-codon position. Lineage: Bacteria; Pseudomonadati; Pseudomonadota; Alphaproteobacteria; Rickettsiales. The record is from RNAcentral.